AGAGUUUGAUCCUGGCUCAGAUUGAACGCUGGCGGCAAGCUUAACACAUGCAAGUCGAGCGGAAACGAUACCAGCUUGCUGGUAGGCGUCGAGCGGCGGACGGGUGAGUAAUACUUAGGAAUCUACCUAGUAGUGGGGGAUAGCUCGGGGAAACUCGAAUUGAUACCGCAUACGACCUACGGGAGAAAGGGGGCAGUUUACUGCUCUCGCUAUUAGAUGAGCCUAAGUCGGAUUAGCUAGAUGGUGGGGUAAAGGCCUACCAUGGCGACGAUCUGUAGCUGGUCUGAGAGGAUGAUCAGCCACACCGGGACUGAGACACGGCCCGGACUCCUACGGGAGGCAGCAGUGGGGAAUAUUGGACAAUGGGGGAAACCCUGAUCCAGCCAUGCCGCGUGUGUGAAGAAGGCCUUUUGGUUGUAAAGCACUUUAAGCAGUGAAGAAGACUCCUCGGUUAAUACCCGUGGACGAUGACAUUAGCUGCAGAAUAAGCACCGGCUAACUCUGUGCCAGCAGCCGCGGUAAUACAGAGGGUGCAAGCGUUAAUCGGAAUUACUGGGCGUAAAGCGAGCGUAGGUGGCUUGAUAAGUCAGAUGUGAAAUCCCCGGGCUUAACCUGGGAACUGCAUCUGAAACUGUUAGGCUAGAGUAGGUGAGAGGAAGGUAGAAUUCCAGGUGUAGCGGUGAAAUGCGUAGAGAUCUGGAGGAAUACCGAUGGCGAAGGCAGCCUUCUGGCAUCAUACUGACACUGAGGCUCGAAAGCGUGGGUAGCAAACAGGAUUAGAUACCCUGGUAGUCCACGCCGUAAACGAUGUCUACUAGCCGUUGGGUCCCUUGAGGACUUAGUGACGCAGCUAACGCAAUAAGUAGACCGCCUGGGGAGUACGGCCGCAAGGUUAAAACUCAAAUGAAUUGACGGGGGCCCGCACAGGCGGUGGAGCAUGUGGUUUAACUCGAUGCAACGCGAAGAACCUUACCUGGUCUUGACAUAUCUAGAAUCCUGCAGAGAUGCGGGAGUGCCUUCGGGAAUUAGAAUACAGGUGCUGCAUGGCUGUCGUCAGCUCGUGUCGUGAGAUGUUGGGUUAAGUCCCGCAACGAGCGCAACCCUUGUCCUUAGUUACCAGCGGGUUAAGCCGGGAACUCUAAGGAUACUGCCAGUGACAAACUGGAGGAAGGCGGGGACGACGUCAAGUCAUCAUGGCCCUUACGACCAGGGCUACACACGUGCUACAAUGGUAGGUACAGAGGGCAGCUACACAGCGAUGUGAUGCGAAUCUCAAAAAGCCUAUCGUAGUCCAGAUUGGAGUCUGCAACUCGACUCCAUGAAGUAGGAAUCGCUAGUAAUCGCGGAUCAGAAUGCCGCGGUGAAUACGUUCCCGGGCCUUGUACACACCGCCCGUCA
RNAcentral lists this ribosomal RNA (1398 nucleotides) under uncultured bacterium. RNAcentral's name for it is "bacterial SSU rRNA". It matches the Rfam family "Bacterial small subunit ribosomal RNA". The record is from RNAcentral.